This 469-nucleotide ribosomal RNA is filed under the name uncultured bacterium. Its description in RNAcentral is "partial 16S ribosomal RNA". It matches the Rfam family "Bacterial small subunit ribosomal RNA", at positions 27 to 507 of the family's 1533-position model. The record is from RNAcentral.
GGACGACCGCUGGCGGCGUGCUUACCACCUGCAAGUCGAACGAUGAAAGAGUAGCUUGCUCCUCUGGAUUAGUGGCGAACGGGUGAGUAACACGUGAGCAAUCUGCCCCUGACUCCGGAAUAACUACGGGAAACUGUAGCUAAUACCGGAUAUGCGCCGAACAGGCAUCUGUAUCGGUGGGAAAGAAUUUCGGUCAGGGAUGAGCUCGCGGCCUAUCAGCUUGUUGGUGAGGUAACGGCUCACCAAGGCGACGACGGGUAGCCGGCCUGAGAGGGUGACCGGCCACAUUGGGACUGAGACACGGCCCAGACUCCUACGGGAGGCAGCAGUGGGGAAUAUUGCACAAUGGGCGCAAGCCUGAUGCAGCAACGCCGCGUGAGGGAUGACGGCCUUCGGGUUGUAAACCUCUUUUAGCAGGGAAGAAGCGAAAGUGACGGUACCUGCAGAAAAAGCGCCGGCUAACUACGUG